GCAGUCGCCGCGGUAAUACAGAGGGUGCGAGCGUUAAUCGGAUUUACUGGGCGUAAAGCGUGCGUAGGCGGCUUCUUAAGUCGGAUGUGAAAUCCCUGAGCUUAACUUAGGAAUUGCAUUCGAUACUGGGAAGCUAGAGUAUGGGAGAGGAUGGUAGAAUUCCAGGUGUAGCGGUGAAAUGCGUAGAGAUCUGGAGGAAUACCGAUGGCGAAGGCAGCCAUCUGGCCUAAUACUGACGCUGAGGUACGAAAGCAUGGGGAGCAAACAGGAUUAGAUACCCGGGUAGUCCAUGUCUCUUAUAC
This 302-nucleotide ribosomal RNA is filed under the name uncultured bacterium. Its description in RNAcentral is "partial 16S ribosomal RNA". It matches the Rfam family "Bacterial small subunit ribosomal RNA", at positions 508 to 807 of the family's 1533-position model. The record is from RNAcentral.